AACACUAAGUGAUCCCAGACCAUUGUAUCUCAAUGAAGUGGUCUGUCUGCAGUGGCAAUGUAGUUUUAACCCUGCAAUUAAUGUUUCCAUUGUAGGGUGAAACAUACCUACUGGCAGCCACUAGGAGGCACUUCUUGUGCAGUAAAGCCUGGUCAUGUGACAGUCAACCUCCAUGAAGAUGUCAGGCAUCAUCAAAUGUAGCUCAUAUGAAAGUAUUGAA
This is a non-coding RNA of Pelobates cultripes (western spadefoot toad), 220 nucleotides long. Lineage: Eukaryota; Metazoa; Chordata; Amphibia; Anura; Pelobatidae. The record is from the annotation of a GenBank genome assembly.